AGACACAGGGGAGCGACGAAUCACUGCCCGUAGAUGGUCACUUGGGCGGUGAGGAGCUAGUAGUGAAACCGACCCCACUGGGG
Molecule: non-coding RNA, 83 nt
Filed under: Chloroflexota bacterium
Lineage: Bacteria; Bacillati; Chloroflexota
Description: Chloroflexi bacterium c-di-GMP-II sequence
Rfam family: Cyclic di-GMP-II riboswitch aptamer
Source: RNAcentral